This 406-nucleotide ribosomal RNA is filed under the name uncultured bacterium. RNAcentral describes it as "partial 16S ribosomal RNA". It matches the Rfam family "Bacterial small subunit ribosomal RNA", at positions 29 to 526 of the family's 1533-position model. The record is from RNAcentral.
AUUGACCGCUGGCGGCAGGCCUAACACAUGCAAGUCGACCGAGUGGCGGCCGGGUGAGUAAUGUAUGGGAAACUGACCGAUGGAGGGGGAUAACUACUGGAAACGGUAGCUCAUACCGCAUACCAUCGGAUGUGCCCAGAUGGGAUUAGCUAGUAGGUGGGGUAAAGGCUCACCUAGGCGACGCUCCCUAGCUGGUCUGAGAGGAUGACCAGCCACACUGGAACGGAGACACGGUCCAGACUCCUACGGGAGGCAGCAGUGGGGAAUAUUGCACAAUGGGCGCAAGCCUGAUGCAGCCAUGCCGCGUGUAUGAAGAAGGCCUUAGGGUGGUAAAGUACUUGCAGCGGGGAGGCGUUACCCGCAGAAGAAGCACCGGCUAACUCCGUGCCAGCCGCCGCGGUAAUAC